Long non-coding RNA from Sander lucioperca (pikeperch), 373 nucleotides. RefSeq lists it as uncharacterized. The transcript has 2 exons. NCBI's taxonomy places the organism in Eukaryota, Metazoa, Chordata, Actinopteri, Perciformes, Percidae. The record is from RefSeq and is a predicted model, not a curated record.
UUUGUGUAAAGAUUAGAACUCAUUUUUGCACAGAACAACGAAAACAACUGUGGAUUUUGUCCUUCAUCACUUCCAUUGAAAAAGCAUUAGGAAGACAAUCUAGUAGGACUGCCUGCCUUGUUGUUUGUGUGUACUACAUUUUACAGUAGUCUUUGAUAUAGAGCCGUCAGUCAAUUUGCAGCAUUAUCACUAAACAGCUACACAAGAGAAAUACAUCGGGCUUCUGUGCAAGAAAUCCUAAAUCACAGGCUUAACAGAUGAAGCCAGAAUUACCUUAAAGGAAGUAAAUCUGCCAUAUAGUUCAAACAGUUAUGUUUCUAUGCAUUGCAAUGCUUUUUUACUGCUGCGUAAGAUACAAUAGCUGGGACUUUAU